GAUGAACGCUGGCGGCGUGCCUAAUACAUGCAAGUCGAGCGAACAGACGAGGAGCUUGCUCCUCUGACGUUAGCGGCGGACGGGUGAGUAACACGUGGAUAACCUACCUAUAAGACUGGGAUAACUUCGGGAAACCGGAGCUAAUACCGGAUAAUAUAUUGAACCGCAUGGUUCAAUAGUGAAAGACGGUUUUGCUGUCACUUAUAGAUGGAUCCGCGCCGCAUUAGCUAGUUGGUAAGGUAACGGCUUACCAAGGCAACGAUGCGUAGCCGACCUGAGAGGGUGAUCGGCCACACUGGAACUGAGACACGGUCCAGACUCCUACGGGAGGCAGCAGUAGGGAAUCUUCCGCAAUGGGCGAAAGCCUGACGGAGCAACGCCGCGUGAGUGAUGAAGGUCUGCGGAUCGUAAAACGCUGUUAUUAGGGAAGAACAAAUGUGUAAGUAACUAUGCACGUCUUGACGGUACCUAAUCAGAAAGCCACGGCUAACUACGU
RNAcentral lists this ribosomal RNA (496 nucleotides) under uncultured bacterium. RNAcentral's name for it is "partial 16S ribosomal RNA". It matches the Rfam family "Bacterial small subunit ribosomal RNA", at positions 28 to 506 of the family's 1533-position model. The record is from RNAcentral.